AGACAAACGUUGCAAGUAACGCGCGGCGACCAGCUUACGAAGUAUUUCAAUAUUCAAUAGCUCCGUGACGGUUUGAAAACAUACAUUUCAUACAGCUAGGUGAUUUAGAAUCCAAAUCUAAAUUUUAGAUAACAAAAAAAAAAACACAAAAAUAUGUCUUCGCUAUUUUGUGCUAUAUUGUAUGGUCUACGGCCGCCGACCGAAUCCAUAUUGUUACAUUGUAGCAUACUGUAUAACAGAACUCGGAGCCAGCAGGUGAAUAAUUUUUAGAAGUCACAUCUCUUAUACAAAAAGAAACUAUUAAUACAGAUACCAAUGAAUUUUGGCACUUUCUAAUAAAGCUUUUGCAUAGGCUUACAUGUGAAGAAAGACUAGUGGAAUAAUGUUGAAUCAUUUUAGGAUGUUUAUUGGAUUUUUCAAAAAAAGAGCAUAGAUAUCGAUGCUUCUUUUAAUUUAUCUUUUCAAUGUUUAAAUACUAAUGAAUUUUGGGACUUUCUAAUAAAGCUUUUGCAUAGGCUUACAUGUGAAGAAAGACUAGUGGAAUCAUGGUGAAUAAUUUUAAGAUGUUUAUUGGAUUUGUCAAAAAAAGAGCAUAGAAAUCAAUACUGAUUUUGAUUUUUUUUUCAACGUUUAAAUACAUAUGAAUUUGGUGACUUCUUCAUAAAGCUUUUGCAUAGUCUUACAUGUGAAGAAAGACUUGUGAAAUUAUGGUGAAUAAUUUUAAGAAGUUUAUUGGGUUUGUCAAAAAAUAAGCAUAGAAAUCAAUACUAAUUUUGAUUUUUUUUUCAACGUUUAAAUACCAAUAAAUUUUGGCAGUUUCUAAUAAAGCUGUUGCAUAGUCUUACAUGUGAAGAAUGACUAAUGAAAUAAUGUUAAAUAACUUUCAUAUGUUUAUUGGUUUUGUCAAAAAAAGAGCAUAGAAAUCAAUACUGAUUUUGAUUUAUUUUUUCAAU
Long non-coding RNA from Rhopalosiphum maidis (corn leaf aphid), 953 nucleotides. RefSeq lists it as uncharacterized. NCBI's taxonomy places the organism in Eukaryota, Metazoa, Arthropoda, Insecta, Hemiptera, Aphididae. The record is from RefSeq and is a predicted model, not a curated record. The transcript has 5 exons.